GUGGGGAAUAUUGGACAAUGGGCGGAAGCCUGAUCCAGCAACGCCGCGUGGGGGAUGACGGCCUUCGGGUUGUAAACCUCUUUCAGCACAGGCGAAGCCGCAGCUUUUGUUGUGGUGACGGUAUGUGUAGAAGAAGCACCGGCCAACUACGUGCCAGCAGCCGCGGUAAUACGUAGGGUGCGAGCGUUGUCCGGAAUUAUUGGGCGUAAAGGGCUCGUAGGCGGUUGGUCGCGUCGGUAGUGAAAUCCAGGUGCUUAACACCUGGCUUGCUUUCGAUACGGGCCGACUUGAGGGAUGCAGGGGAGAACGGAAUUCCUGGUGUAGCGGUGAAAUGCGCAGAUAUCAGGAGGAACACCGGUGGCGAAGGCGGUUCUCUGGGCAUUUCCUGACGCUGAGGAGCGAAAGUGUGGGGAGCGAACAGG
Molecule: ribosomal RNA, 422 nt
Filed under: uncultured Nocardioides sp.
Lineage: Bacteria; Bacillati; Actinomycetota; Actinomycetes; Propionibacteriales; Nocardioidaceae
Description: bacterial SSU rRNA
Rfam family: Bacterial small subunit ribosomal RNA
Source: RNAcentral